Molecule: non-coding RNA, 27 nt
Filed under: Mus musculus (house mouse)
Lineage: Eukaryota; Metazoa; Chordata; Mammalia; Rodentia; Muridae
Source: RNAcentral
CAGGAUGUUUUUGGAUUCAGGUCUCUG